GAUUAACGCUGGCGGCGUGCAUAACACAUGCAAGUCGAACGAUGAAACUCAUUAGAUUUCUUCGGAAUGAAAAUGAAUGGAUUAGUGGCGAACGGGUGAGUAACGCGUGAGUAACCUGCCUUACACAAGGGGAUAGCCUCUGGAAACGGAGAAUAAUACCCUAUGAAACCAGACAAUCGCAUGAUAAUCUGGUCAAAAUGUUUAGUGGUGUAAGAUGGACUUGCGUCUGAUUAGCUAGUUGGUGAGAUAAAAGCUCACCAAGGCAACGAUCAGUAGCCGGCUUGAGAGAGUGUACGGCCACAUUGGGACUGAGACACGGCCCAGACUCCCACGGGAGGCAGCAGUGGGGAAUUUUGCACAAUGGGGGAAACCCUGAUGCAGCGACGCCGCGUGAUUUAGAAGGCCUUCGGGUUGUAAAAAUCUUUUGUAUAGGAAGAAAAUGACAGUACUAUACGAAUAAGGUCCGGCUAAUUACGUG
Molecule: ribosomal RNA, 478 nt
Filed under: uncultured bacterium
Lineage: Bacteria
Description: partial 16S ribosomal RNA
Rfam family: Bacterial small subunit ribosomal RNA
Source: RNAcentral